RNAcentral lists this ribosomal RNA (433 nucleotides) under uncultured bacterium. Its description in RNAcentral is "partial 16S ribosomal RNA". It matches the Rfam family "Bacterial small subunit ribosomal RNA", at positions 29 to 507 of the family's 1533-position model. The record is from RNAcentral.
AACGAACGCUGGCGGCAUGCCUAACACAUGCAAGUCGAACGAGACCUUCGGGUCUAGUGGCGCACGGGUGCGUAACGCGUGGGAACCUGCCCUUAGGUUCGGAAUAACUCCCCGAAAGGGGUGCUAAUACCGGAUAAUGUCUUCGGACCAAAGAUUUAUCGCCUUUGGAUGGGCCCGCGUUGGAUUAGCUAGUUGGUAGGGUAAAAGCCUACCAAGGCGACGAUCCAUAGCUGGUCUGAGAGGAUGAUCAGCCACACUGGGACUGAGACACGGCCCAGACUCCUACGGAAGGCAGCAGUGGGGAAUAUUGGACAAUGGGCGAAAGCCUGAUCCAGCAAUGCCGCGUGAGUGAUGAAGGCCUUAGGGUUGUAAAGCUCUUUUAACCGGGAUGAUAAUGACAGUACCGGGAGAAUAAGCUCCGGCUAACUCCGUG